CCAUGCCUGAGCUCUCUUCACUAGACCGUACUAUCUCUUGCCGUUUCCUUCACCACUUCUUAUGAGCCUCCUUGGGGAAGUCGGGGUCUCAACUGUUCUCUGCUCUGCCGCAGCCACUUAGGUUUUGCUCCACGGUGUCUCCGAAGGAUUUAUUUUCUCCAUCCUGCUUUGUGCUUCCCCUUCUAGCUCAGCAGAAGCCCGCUGUCAUCAUCCACUUUCUUCACCUGUCCCGUGAGGGGGUGAUGGUAAGAGAGGGGCUUCGAUACUGAUGAUUCAAAGAAAACUUCCAGCAUCUCUUUGUUUGAGAUCCUGUCUUUCACCCUGAUGUAAAGUGUGGCGCAUAGGCAGCCUUGGAGAAGUGGACUGUGACAUCGGUGGAAGAUCCAGCUCUCGCAGCCUUAAAGAGAGGCAGACACCAAACUUCACUUUCUGCAAGAAGCCUUCCCAGAUGAAUUCCCACCACUGGAGUCACAGGAUCUGGCACCAUGCAAACCAAUAGUAGCACUUGGUUGUUGAUCUGGACAGAGGCAUCUCUUUCCUCUACGGUGGGAGACUCUUUCAUCACAUCCACAACACAGUCAUCACUGUUUUGACAGCUCAUUGUGGACGGGGAAUAUGUCUGCAACAUUGAAUUCUCCCAAGCACUGAGUACAGUGCUUGGCAUAGAGUAAGCACUCAGUAUUAUUGAUUGCUCAUCAGAUGGAGAUGGAAACACAGUGUAAUGUCGAUGAGGAUGAUGAUGAUGAUGGAAUCUCCGGCUGAGAACAGUGGAGAGCGUCCCCCGAGGAAGAGAGGUGCCUGAGAAUGGUUUGGGUGGUGCCACCUACCUUAAAUUCCACCUAAGCACUAA
Long non-coding RNA from Ornithorhynchus anatinus (platypus), 850 nucleotides. RefSeq lists it as uncharacterized. The transcript has 3 exons. NCBI's taxonomy places the organism in Eukaryota, Metazoa, Chordata, Mammalia, Monotremata, Ornithorhynchidae. The record is from RefSeq and is a predicted model, not a curated record.